CCAGACUCCUACGGGAGGCAGCAGUGGGGAAUAUUGGACAAUGGGGGGAACCCUGAUCCAGCCAUGCCGCGUGUGUGAAGAAGGCCUUUUGGUUGUAAAGCACUUUAAGCGAGGAGGAGGCUACCUAGAUUAAUACUUUAGGAUAGUGGACGUUACUCGCAGAAUAAGCACCGGCUAACUCUGUGCCAGCAGCCGCGGUAAUACAGAGGGUGCGAGCGUUAAUCGGAUUUACUGGGCGUAAAGCGUGCGUAGGCGGCCAAUUAAGUCAAAUGUGAAAUCCCCGAGCUUAACUUGGGAAUUGCAUUCGAUACUGGUUGGCUAGAGUAUGGGAGAGGAUGGUAGAAUUCCAGGUGUAGCGGUGAAAUGCGUAGAGAUCUGGAGGAAUACCGAUGGCGAAGGCAGCCAUCUGGCCUAAUACUGACGCUGAGGUACGAAAGCAUGGGGAGCAAACAGGAUUAGAUACCCUGGUAGUCCAUGCCGUAAACGAUGUCUACUAGCCGUUGGGGCCCUUGAGGCUUUAGUGGCGCAGCUAACGCGAUAAGUAGACCGCCUGGGGAGUACGGUCGCAAGACUAAAACUCAAAUGAAUUGACGGGGGCCCGCACAAGA
Molecule: ribosomal RNA, 608 nt
Filed under: uncultured bacterium
Lineage: Bacteria
Description: bacterial SSU rRNA
Rfam family: Bacterial small subunit ribosomal RNA
Source: RNAcentral